This 173-nucleotide unclassified non-coding RNA is filed under the name uncultured fungus. Its description in RNAcentral is "sequence contains ITS1". Lineage: Eukaryota; Fungi. The record is from RNAcentral.
AGAAAAUUCAUGGAAUUUCAUAUUCUUAAACACAUUCUGUGUACUUGUUCCUGUUGCUUUCAUGGGCAGUAGGCCUCGUGCCUGCGCUCGCCAUCUCGGUGAACCCAUGGGAGAUAUUCAUAAAUCCAAUCUUAUAUGGCACAGGUCUGAGAUUGUUCAAUUAAUCAGAAUUA